CCUACGGGGGGCUGCAGUGGGGAAUAUUGCACAAUGGGGGGAACCCUGAUGCAGCAACGCCGCGUGGGUGAAGAAGUACUCCGGUAUGUAAAGCCCUGUCAGCAGGGAAGAAAAUGACGGUACCUGACCAAGAAGCCCCGGCUAACUCCGUGCCAGCAGCCGCGGUAAUACGGGGGAUGCAAGCGUUAUCCGGAUUUAUUGGGUUUAAAGGGUGCGUAGGCUGUGAGGUAAGUCAGCGGUGAAAUGCCCCCGCUCAACGGGGUGAAGUGCCAUUGAUACUGCCUUGCUGGAAUGCGGAUGCCGUGGGAGGAAUGUGUGGUGUAGCGGUGAAAUGCAUAGAUAUCACACAGAACACCGAUUGCGAAGGCAUCUCACGAAUCCGCGAUUGACGCUGAUGCACGAAAGCGUGGGUAUCAAACAGGAUUAGAUACCCUUGUAGUC
Molecule: ribosomal RNA, 441 nt
Filed under: uncultured bacterium
Lineage: Bacteria
Description: partial 16S ribosomal RNA
Rfam family: Bacterial small subunit ribosomal RNA
Source: RNAcentral